CCUCCAGGUCAGAGAUUUGAACUAUGGUCAACUAUGUGGGAGUCCAGCAACGUAACGAGCCCUGCAAGUGCAUGCAAUUAAAAAGGAAGUGGAACUGAGGAAUUAAGAUAAUAGGGCCCAACCUCAGUGGCACCGCAGCAGCUCCAUGCUCUGCAGCACUGCAAGCCGUAUGAAAGAUUGGGAUUUGGCUCUCAGAUUGACCUGUACACACCAGAGGCCAUCCUUUAUUUGUUCCUCCUGUCCUGACAAUGGGAAGCCACAAAGCCUCUUUCGCCUCAUACCCGAGGCUACUGUGCAAGCACAAACUUCGAGGAAAAACAUAAAGAUAAGGAAAGUACCCACCAAUGUUUUGUCUACUUAUUACUAGUUCUCCAAGCUUACUAUGAAUCUGGAUUCCAUCUAACAAG
Molecule: long non-coding RNA, 407 nt
Organism: Tupaia belangeri chinensis (Chinese tree shrew)
Lineage: Eukaryota; Metazoa; Chordata; Mammalia; Scandentia; Tupaiidae
Exons: 4
Source: RefSeq, a predicted model, not a curated record